Molecule: ribosomal RNA, 424 nt
Filed under: Bacillota bacterium
Lineage: Bacteria; Bacillati; Bacillota
Description: Firmicutes bacterium partial 16S ribosomal RNA
Rfam family: Bacterial small subunit ribosomal RNA
Source: RNAcentral
UAAGGAAUAUUGGACAAUGGGCGCAAGCCUGAUCCAGCCAUGCCGCGUGCAGGAUGAAAGUGCUAUGCACUGUAAACUGCUUUUGUUUGGGAAAAAACCCCUGGUUUCUACUGGGGCUGAUUGUACCAAAAGAAUAAGGGACGGCUAACUUCGUGCCAGCAGCCGCGGUAAUACGAAGGUCCCAAGCGUUAUCCGGAUUUAUUGGGUUUAAAGGGUGCGUAGGCGGACUAUUAAGUCAGUGGUGAAAGCCCCAAGCUUAACCUGGGAACUGCCAUUGUUACUGGUGGUGUUGAGUACAUUUGAGGUUGGCCGAAUGUGUCCAGUAGCGGUGUAAUGCUUUGAUAAAACACAGAACACCGAUUGCGAAGGCAGCUCAAUAAACUGUUACAGACGAUGAGGCACAAAAGCGUGGGGAGCAAACAGG